Long non-coding RNA from Morone saxatilis (striped sea-bass), 8078 nucleotides. RefSeq lists it as uncharacterized. The record is from RefSeq and is a predicted model, not a curated record. Lineage: Eukaryota; Metazoa; Chordata; Actinopteri; Moronidae. The transcript has 2 exons.
CACACACACACACACACACACACACACACACCUGUUUAUUUUCCAUUCAGGCUGGUUGGAGCUCAGUGCUGGAUCAGAUCAUGUGCAGCAGGCUGGAAGAAUCAAUUAUCCUAAAAUUAAACGACAGUGAUUCCAACCUCUGUUCUAUAAACAGCCGCCUGUAAGACAACGAUCAGGGCUCAGAGUUCUGGGUUCCACCUGCAGAUGUAAAAUAAAAAAGGCUCCAGGAGGUUAAACCCUCAGCAGCCUGCCUGGAAAGAUAUUAUGAAAUCAGGUGCAGUUUUUUUUUCUUCCCCAAACCGAGAGCGCCACCUUGUGGAUGAACCGCGGCGCUGCGUCUCCUCGGCGGAUGCAGUUUCUAUAGCAACCUUCCAGACUUUUCUGCAUUGUCUGCCACAGGAAGGGAAGGAUGCUGCUGAAGCUAAAGAGACGAGGCAUCAGCGAGGCCAGAAAACCACCAUGUUGUGGAAGCCUCCAUGUUGUUUGAAUCUGACACAUCGAUUCAACCAACAACAGGACAAAUGAGCCAAUGUGACGUAUUUACAGCCGCAUGUUUGACCCGCUGUCCACACACCUCUGAGAGGAUCCAAACUGAGCUGCAACCAACCUUUACUCAGAUUAUUUCAUAUUUUAGGAUUAAAAUGAGGUUUAAAUGACAACACGUCCUUCACAAGUUCCCAGAGCCCAAACUGAGGUUGUGAAAUUGUUUAUUUUUUUAGGCAGAAAACCACAAAAGAGAUUCAAUAUAAUAGUUUAUAAUAGAAAGAUAUAAUAUUUUGGAUGUUUUAGAGCUCGACUGACACUGAUGUCUGAGGCUGAUUUAUAGUAGAAGGGAAAAAAGCCAAAAAUAUCCCUCCUGAUAUUAUGUAUUAUGUCCUAAAACAGGAUAUUUGAGCAUUAACAAGCAAAACUGACAGUAACAACAAACCUGGAAUAUAUUAUAUAAACAAAACACAAUGUGUAUAUAAAUGAUCAAUAUGUAAAAAAAUAUGUAAAAAUUUGGCCAAAAACACUUUUUUCUGCCACUUUUUGUUGCAUAUCAGCCAUGUAUGGAAGCACAAAAAGGCCAAAAUUGGAAAAUGGCAUUAAAAUUGAAUUCAAUUUCACAAAAAAAUAGAAAUAUUGAAAUUUAAAAACUAUUUUGAGUUGUCAAAUAAGUUUGUGUUUUUUAGGUUUCACAGAUUCAGAUAGAAAAUGUAAUCCAUUGAAAACUCCAACAGAUACUAGAUGAGAUUCAGAACUCAACCUUUUAACCAAAAUGGAAAAAGUCACAUGAUCCAAGAAAGAAAAGUUUAGAAGCGACUGAAAACCCUGAAACACUUUAAUUUUAAAUUUUAAAUAAAAAUUUCAAACCACAUAAACUCAGAUAUGUUUUCAAAAUAAAAUAUGGUGGUUUUUAAAUAAAGAAAUUAGAUAUUCAGUUACUUGUAUAAUUAAAAUAAUUUUUGCACUUUUUUUGCUUCCAUAUAAAUGUUAUUUCUGUGAUAUCAGCUCACAGUAAAAUAAUAAUAAUAAUAAUAAUAAUAAUAAUCAGCCUGUUGAUGUAUCAGUCGAGUUCUGAUGUUUUAACUUGAAAAACUACUUAAAAAUGCAACAUUUUCCAAGAAUGUCACCUGAUUAUUCUCAUUCGAUCAAUAUUUUAGUACUCCCUGAUAUUUGGAAACAAACUGAUCAGUCCUUGUCAGACGAAUAUAACAAACAGGUCACCUGCUGUAUUUUAAGGUUUCCAUAAUUAGCAUUUAGCCAUUAUAGCACCUUACUCAUCUGGACUCCAGGGACGACUCUUUCCACCAAACCUAAUGGAAAAAACGGGGAAUUUAACAGACUGAGGGAAUAAAAACGAUCCCAGCAGACGUUCUCGCAGUGAAGUUCACCGUGCUGUUGGUUGGAUUAUCAGUUGAUUGAUCGAUGGAUGGAGGCCUGAUGGAGUUUAACUGCUGAAUCAUCAACACAGACGGACGGACGGACGGACGGAUGGACGACUCUUCAACUCAGACGACCAAUAACAGCGGAGGGCCGGUCGCACAGAGAGGGGAAGAACGAUGAGCUGCUCCUCCACCUUCCUUGUCAAACCAAAAGAGUACGACAUCCCCGCUUCCCACGACCCUCCUCCUCCUCCUCCUCCUCCUCCUCCUCCUCCUCUUCCUUCUUCCUCCAACAAAGGUGAAAUAAAACAAACUCUGGAUUAAAAACACUGACACUCAUAGGAAACUCGGAGCUAUGAGACGCCUUUCCAUUACAAGAGGACAUCCCGACUGAUUUUUGCACAGAGCGAAGCUACAGUGGGACUCUGAGGUACGACAAACGUUACUUGAAUCAUCCAUAUAUUUACAACAUGUCUGCUGGCUAACGGAGUCCUCCAUAUAUUCAACGAAUAGAUGUUUUUUGGGGAGAUUGCUCCUCUAGCUGUAGAGAAAAAAAAGAACUUGUAAGUCCUGUCUGUACGUUGCAUAUCAUAUUCAAACCAAAACAUAUUAUUGCAUGCUUGGAAAAGUAGAGCAUGUAAACAGAAGAAGUUUGACUUUUGUGUUGACGGCUCAACCCAGCACCGCUAAUCUGUAAUAUGGGAACAACAACAACAACAACAACAACAGCUCAUCGAUAUCACGUUUAUUGAAAUAAUUCUGUUCGACCGGUGGAGUUAGUUGCUAAAUCUCUAUUUUUUAAAGUAUCAUACUGUAUAUGUUUUAUAUGGAGAGGAAUUGGUGAAUUAUUUUGUAGAUUUCUAACAUUUUUGCUAAUGUGUUUUAAUUUUUUCAUUUCUUUUUAUUAUUAUAAUUAUUAUUAUUAUUAUUUUUGCCUUUGUAAAAACAAAAGCAGCUCCAGUGGGCAGCUCUGAUGAAAAUGUCUGCCUGCCAAAAACACUUUAAAAAAAGAAGAAGAUGAAACUGCCCAUAAUAAGAAGAAUGUUUGUGUGGAAAAGUAAAAAAAAUAAGACAGUUGAAAUGCAUUUAUCGCAGACAUUUGUAUGGAAGCUCUUUUCCACUAAUGUGACAGGAAGAAAAACAAUUCUGUAAUUAAUUAUAAUGAGAAACCUUCUCAGUGUUUUCAUUUAGUAUCACAGUCGAUAUUUUAAGAUACUAAAUUAAAUUAUGGAGAAGGUUUCUAAUUAUGAUUUACAGAAUCCUUUUUUUCCCCCGUCACUUUGGCAGAAAUGGUCUUCCAUACAUUUGACAUCUGAUUUUCUUUUGAAUAAUUUUGAAUCUUUCUGAUUGUGUUUUUAGGUUUUGAUCAAAAUGCUGUAUAUCUGUUAUAUCAAUGACAUCUACCUCAGUGUCCGCUCAUUAACGACAGAAGCUUUAACACCUGAACGACGUUGGGAGUCCCUCGUUUAUCUGAAAUCAGACCAGUUUUUAAAUGCAAUUUAAUAAACCCAAACACUCUAUAAACUGCCAUUUAAUAACUCAGAAAAGUCUAAAAAGUGUUAAAGAACCUAGAGGAAAUGUAUACCUACAAAACCAUAUUAACAACGGAUAAAAUAUACAGUAUAUGAAGCCAAUAUUGGCCUUUUUAAUAUCAGAUGUCAUCCAGCCUGAUUAUAGCAAACAGCUUAGAGCCUGACGUCACAUUUUCUUUGCACAUUUUAAUUUAUUUGUGAAAUUGUUCAUGUGAACGAGUGUGACUGUUUUUUUAAAUUAAAUGUUGAUUUAAGGGCAAUAAUGUGCUGCAGAGGUUUUCUACCAUUGAAUAAAUGGAGCCUGUCUUAAAAACUGCUAAACCUAAAAACAAUAUAUUCGUUUGAGGUUUUAAUGGAAAAGGAAUUUUACGUCAGCCGAUGGUCUAAAAUGUUUUUUUUCCACCGCGACAAAGAUUCAGUACCCGGAAGUAAAUUUCAGCCACAACAUUGGUGACAUUUAUGGGAAAUCUGGCGGUUAGCUUUCUCCCAGACUCAGAUAUCAGUUUAAACUCCAGUACAGGGACAAGUCCAGGAUGAGUUUAGCCUAGCUUAGCACAAAGGCUGUAAGCGGGGGGAAACUACUAGCCUAGAACACAACUUCCAACCACCUCAAAGCUGCCUGGUUUGUAUCGUUUUAGCAUUUAGCGCUGGAGCUAUUUGGCGAUAAACGACUGUGAUAAACGUGAAGUAGAAUAGAUCAUGGACAUUUCUUACCUAGCUUAGCACAAUAACUGGAAGCGGGGAAAACUGCUAACUCAAGUAGCCACAAAACCUAACGUAACCACAUUACGUUAGGUUUCUGCAGCUAGUUGAUGUUAUAGCUGUAUGUAGGCUGAAGCGAAUAGUUCUUCCAGUGCUAAGCUAAACACGUCCUGGACCUGUCACUGUAAUGGAAAUGAUGGAAUAUCCUUUUUCUCUUCUGACUCUGGGGAAGAUGACAAACAAAAAUAUUUCCCAAAAUGCUGAACUUACCAUCAUCAUCAUCAUCAUCAUCAUCAUAAAACAUUGGUACAACUCUGUAAAAACUUGCAUCCAUCAACGCUAGCAUCGACUGCAGUUUGGUCUUGUUGUAAUUCUGCUUUGCUUGGACAUAAAAACAGCCUCGGGUGAUUUCUGUUUGACGGUGGCAGUGAUGAGCUCUGACUAGGCAUCAGUUAUGAUGAUUAAUGUAUUCUGCAUACUGUAUGUGCAACAAUAAUAAUACAGUAUUUCCCCUGCGAGUGCAGCAACGUCCUCAUCACCAAACUUCCACAUAUUUAACCAUCACUUGAUAUUCACGACAUGUAAUAUUUUCAUGCUUCAUUAUCAGCUGCAGAGGUCAGUUCGGGCUGCUGAGGUCAGUUCUGGCCGCAGAGGUCAGUUCUGGCUGCAGAGCUCAGUCACCAAAUUGUUUAAUUUUCAUGCAAAAAUAAGAAAAAGCAAUAGUGUGAGUGAAUAUUGUGCUCUGGGAACUUCGGUGUGGAAGCAAAAUGCAUUUUGAUUUCUUCUUCUUUCUGUUUUUUAUUUCCAGUUGUUGUUGUCAUGUUUAUUUUGACAACCUUCAAUUGUGAUCUAUUUUUGAUAAAAUAAAUCUUUAAUCAUGAUCAGCUUCAAUCUUCAUGUGUUUCAGAUGACUGCACAUGCGGACGUGUCGUUUUCUGUUCCGUGUUGGUUUUUCAUGAGUCACAGACGUUCCCACAAGAUGGCACAUUCAAACAGUUCAUCACACAUCUGUCACAUCUGUAUCACCGUCAUCCAUCCUGAAGCCCUUCGGUUGGUGGAGAGGACGAGGCCGAACUUUAAAGUCCAACUGAAAUUAUGACGUAAUUUAUGUCUAAUCUGUAAAUCACUGUGAUUAAUUUAUAAUUUAUGUUUUUAUUUUAACAUAAAGGUCCGUGUUGUAUCGUAGGCAGACAGACUAAACAACACAUAUUAGCUUUCCUGCUAUUUCUGAUCUCACUUACAAACAUGAACACAUGAAACGUUUCCUGCACUUUAACUUGUUGAAUCAAAUGACACCAGGGAAAAGUGCUAAUGAUAGUUAGCAGGCUCAGUAACUAAUUAGCUGCUCAGCUAAUUAAGCACAUUAAGCAAAACAUAAACGUACUUGCUAAUGUCACUGAUGCCGGUGUGGUUCUUACUCUUCACUAACACGCUGUCUGCUCAUAACAUUCAGCGCAAAACAACUCUCCGAUUUAAUAAUUAAAAAAAUCUGUUAUAACUAUUAUCCUUUUACAUUAUAUGAACUAUAAACAUACAUUUAAAAAUAUACGUUGAUGUUAUUUCUGAUUACAGAGAGGGUUGAGUGGAUGUGAUUUCAGUUGGCCUUUAAAGUUCAGCCUCCAGAGGGAGAGCAGUGUGUCGUCAGUGGCUUUAAUAUAUAACUGUAGUUUGACUGAAACCCUCAACCAAAAGAGACUUCAUCACGUUCACUUCAUCAGUGGGUACCCACAUCAGACGCUUACUGUAUACUGAAGAUAUCAGUCAGCGUUGUUUCAAGGGAAAAUGGAAAAUACAUUUAAUUUCAGUCCUUUUGUAUUGAAAUGUGAUCAACAAAAUAUGGAAGUAGGUUGAAUCCUGGAAGUUUUUCCUUCAGUGUUGCUCAAAUCUACUUGUUUAUCUAUAGAGUUCAGUUACCUCUAAUAUAUAUUAUCUUUUUAGGGUUCCCCCAAACCGGUUAUUCCCCACUGAUUAUCUGAAUACAUAAUUCUGUAUCCACUAUAGCCAUCCAUAUCACUCAUAGUUUGUAGUAAGAAAUAAUUAAAUCUUUGUUGUCUCCCAGUUUUAAAACCAAACUACAGCCUUGAUAACUGUUCUUUAACAUGCAAACCAUUAACAGCGUUGACGUCUGCAGGGGUGAAGAGUUCGGAAGUUGUGAUGUGAAAAUACUUAGUAGGUUAAAGCGAAUAUUUAACUGCAGACAGAAAACCAGCAGAGGUCAGUUAGAAACAUGCAGUAACCACAGUUAUUCAUCGAUAAGCAAUAAUGCAUGUAAAGUACAGUAUCAUCAGCAAAGGUGGGUUCUCUGGUUGUUUGUAUCUGUGCAUAAAAAGUUAACAGUGCCUUAAUCAUAACCUGAUUGAGUUAAUAACCCUGUCAAAUGCAUCUGAAGUACCACAGAAGAAGAAAGUGUGUGUGUGUGUUAGCACUGUAGGGACGCAAUCGACUGGUUGCACAUAGAAAUAAUGUAAAUUAAUGUAUUGAAUGUACAGUAAGUUGUCUUCCUGGUUGCUGUUAUGAGAGGAAACAAAUGUGAUGAAGUAAAAAGAAAAAAUCUCCUCUGUGGAAGCUCAAAGUGGACAAGACUAUUCAUAUUUUAAGGCCUGUUAUCUUGUAAAGUCAGUCAUUGUUUAGUCACAUCUAUUUUAGUUGUGAUUACACCCCCUUCGCCUCACCUUACCAUUCCAAGAGUGUAAGAGAACCUACGGAAGACCUGAAAAUCACUGAAAACCUUAUUUAGAGCCAGUGUUCAUUAAUUAAAUAUAUUUUUUCAGGUGUUUGGGGAAUGUCCAGAUAUAAAUGUUUGAGUUUCUUGUGCAUGAUUAUAAAACAUGGUUUGGUUUCCUGAAAAAAAAAAACCCAAAAAUAAUGUUUUCUUGUAAAUUAAAUUGUGAUAUUGGGAUUAUAGCCCUAAAGAAAUAUUUGCAAUCAUGUCCACUUUGGGCUUCCUUAGAUUAAUUUUCUGUUUUCGAAUAAUGACAUUCCUCAUAUGUCUCACUUUAGUUUUUCUUUGGCAGCUCAUGAAACUUUAUCACAUUUUCAUACAAUCUGUUGCUUUUAUUUUUUACAUUUGUAUUAUUUUAGUCUGGAUGCUGAGUAAUGGCCAAACGUUAUUAUUGUUAAUUUUAACUAAAAUGAAGAGAAAGUGAAUUAAAAUGAAUGUGAACAUAACAUUUUGCCUGCAAUUAAACUGAGUUUACAUAUUUAUCCUGUGUUUAAAAUUAGCUGAUGGUAAAGUCAUAAAGUUUAGAUUUUAAUAAUUAACCCCAAAAAAGAAGAAAAGAAAUAAUGAAAUGAUACAAAAUCUAACAUAAAUUUAAAGAAAUGGGACUUAAAUAACCUUAAUCAUAAUAUUUAGUUUUCAUAUGACGAUUGUUAACUGUACCAUUUUUUACAGUGCUGCUAAAAAAUGAUGCAUUAUGUUUAAAAAAUAACUUUACAAUUGUUGUCCAUAAAAACUGACGCAUUCUGGCGUCUGAAUGACUUCUUGGGUGUAUGUGAAAGGCUGUUGCUUUAAUUAUUAAAUUAAAAAAGGGAUAAAUUCCCAUCAGAAAAUGUCAGAAAAUUAUUUAUUCUAAUUAAUAUGUAGUUUGAUUGACGAUAUCAAAUUCAUGUUAAAUCAAAAAUAUUACUUUCCUUUUUUAUAAUGCUGUUAAAAUUAAACUGAGAGAUACAAGACUGAGAGAAAAAAUACUAAAAAACAACAAUCAUCCAUCCUUACCGGCAUGAGUGUAACACAAGCAGUGUGUCUCCAUGUGUUUGAGGUCGGUCCUGUAUUCAUUCACUGAACUGUGUGUUCGUCUCAUGGUGUUUUCCCGCUUCUGCUAACAGCUGAUUCAACAGUGACAAAAAUAACUGUCUGCAAAACCUCAAUUUGUGUCUUCAGUGUGUAAAAUCUCAAAUAAUAUUUUAUUUUUGUCAACUUGAGUAUCUGUGUAUUUCACUGUAUGGCAGGUAUAAAGUUAAAUAACAUUAAAAAAAA